RNAcentral lists this ribosomal RNA (253 nucleotides) under uncultured bacterium. Its description in RNAcentral is "partial 16S ribosomal RNA". It matches the Rfam family "Bacterial small subunit ribosomal RNA", at positions 524 to 776 of the family's 1533-position model. The record is from RNAcentral.
UACGAAGGGGGCUAGCGUUGCUCGGAAUCACUGGGCGUAAAGGGUGCGUAGGCGGGUUUUUAAGUCAGGGGUGAAAUCCUGGAGCUCAACUCCAGAACUGCCUUUGAUACUGAAGAUCUUGAGUCCGGGAGAGGUGAGUGGAACUGCGAGUGUAGAGGUGAAAUUCGUAGAUAUUCGCAAGAACACCAGUGGCGAAAGCGGCUCUCUGGGACGGUACUGACGCUGAGACGCGAAAGCGUGGGGAGCGAACAGG